CCUACGGGGUGCAGCAGUGGGGAAUAUUGGACAAUGGGCGAAAGCCUGAUCCAGCCAUGCCGCGUGUGUGAAGAAGGCCUUCGGGUUGUAAAGCACUUUCAGUGGGGAAGAAAGCCUUGGGGCUAAUACCCUCGAGGAAGGACAUCACCCACAGAAGAAGCACCGGCUAACUCCGUGCCAGCAGCCGCGGUAAUACGGAGGGUGCGAGCGUUAAUCGGAAUUACUGGGCGUAAAGCGCGCGUAGGCGGUCUGAUAAGCCGGUUGUGAAAGCCCCGGGCUCAACCUGGGAACGGCAUCCGGAACUGGCAGGCUAGAGUGCAGGAGAGGAGGGUAGAAUUCCCGGUGUAGCGGUGAAAUGCGUAGAGAUCGGGAGGAAUACCAGUGGCGAAGGCGGCCUUCUGGACUGACACUGACGCUGAGGUGCGAAAGCGUGGGUAGCAAACAGGAUUAGAUACCCGAGUAGUC
Molecule: ribosomal RNA, 465 nt
Filed under: Vreelandella stevensii
Lineage: Bacteria; Pseudomonadati; Pseudomonadota; Gammaproteobacteria; Oceanospirillales; Halomonadaceae
Description: partial 16S ribosomal RNA
Rfam family: Bacterial small subunit ribosomal RNA
Source: RNAcentral